This 365-nucleotide long non-coding RNA is filed under the name Gouania willdenowi (blunt-snouted clingfish). RNAcentral describes it as "lncRNA (ENSGWIG00000021623.1)". Lineage: Eukaryota; Metazoa; Chordata; Actinopteri; Blenniiformes; Gobiesocidae. The record is from RNAcentral.
GGAAAUCCAGCACUCACACAGGUGAAUUGUUCAUAUACUGCUUAAGGUUUUUUUUUUUUUUUCCCCCCUUAGUGGAGGGAAGUCUUUGAGCAGGAUGAUGUUCUCUGCUCUUCCAGAUGUUCUGUGGAUAAAACAUCAUUCACUUGGCCUGGAGAUGAUACAAACUCAUGCAAGAAAGGACGAGAUAAAAGAUCACAUGUUAAGGCAGAUAAAAUUCACAACACAAGUUCAAGCUUAUUUGAAAUUGAUUUAACACAUCAUUCAAAUCAAAGACAUUUAUUGGCUGCGGACAUUCCCAACAAAGAACUGAGGUGAGACUUUAACUCUUAAUUUUUAGAAGGUAAAUGUGAUUAGUUCUUACAGAA